Long non-coding RNA from Corapipo altera (White-ruffed manakin), 715 nucleotides. RefSeq lists it as uncharacterized. The transcript is spliced from 3 exons. Lineage: Eukaryota; Metazoa; Chordata; Aves; Passeriformes; Pipridae. The record is from RefSeq and is a predicted model, not a curated record.
AGCCAUUGCUGCUGGCUCUGCCCAGAUCCUGUCAGCUGCUGUUGCACGAACUGGGGGCUACCAGUGGCUCUUUUCUCACCCUUAGGUUCCUCUAGUUCAGGGACCCCCUAUCCACCACUCCAGAGUGUUCCUCUGCAGAUUGUACUGGAACUGGAGCUGUUUGCCUUGGCGACUGAGUAACUAAUGUUACAGAGGAAGAUUAAUUGUGCUUUUAUACUUAGGGUAGCAGAUGGUACUCAAAUGUAGGAAAUCUGGCAGAUGAGUAUGAAAUUCUGGUCUAAUUCCCCACUCCAUCUGGUUAAGUAGAAACUUGUGUCUUGAGCUAACCAGAAAACAAAAUGAUCAAAACAUUGGCUUGACAUUGUGUGGACCGACACUUUCACAAUUAAGAUGUAGAUGGAAAGGAUUUCUCCCUUCUCUGGAGAAUUCUAUUUAUUAAGGGAAAGAAAGUGUUACAAAAAAUAAAGAAUUCUGAAGCGAAGAAGUGGCUGUGGAAAGAAGAAGGGGGUCCAGAAAGGAUAAAGGGAAGAUUCUAGCUGGAGGAAAGUUCUUUAAACUGGGAGAAGAUCCUGGAGAUGGGAGAGAAGCAUGAGGAUAAAUGCCUGACCUUGGUUAGUGAUGCCCCAAACUAUCAGGAGUUGCAUAGAAAGAACCAACACAGCUUUAUGCCUGAUCCUCCCAGAGCAGCAAAGAUGUUCCUGCAGGGAAGGGAAGU